GAUUAACGCUGGCGGCGUGCAUAACACAUGCAAGUCGAACGAUGAAACUCAUUAGAUUUCUUCGGAAUGAAAAUGAAUGGAUUAGUGGCGAACGGGUGAGUAACGCGUGAGUAACCUGCCUUACACAAGGGGAUAGCCUCUGGAAACGGAGAAUAAUACCCUAUGAAACCAGACAAUCGCAUGAUAAUCUGGUCAAAAUGUUUAGUGGUGUAAGAUGGACUUGCGUCUGAUUAGCUAGUUGGUGAGAUAAAAGCUCACCAAGGCAACGAUCAGUAGCCGGCUUGAGAGAGUGUACGGCCAAAUUGGGACUGAGACACGGCCCAGACUCCUACGGGAGGCAGCAGUGGGGAAUUUUGCACAAUGGGGGAAACCCUGAUGCAGCGACGCCGCGUGAUUUAGAAGGCCUUCGGGUUGUAAAAAUCUUUUGUAUAGGAAGAAAAUGACAGUACUAUACGAAUAAGGUCCGGCUAAUUACGUG
This 478-nucleotide ribosomal RNA is filed under the name uncultured bacterium. Its description in RNAcentral is "partial 16S ribosomal RNA". It matches the Rfam family "Bacterial small subunit ribosomal RNA", at positions 28 to 507 of the family's 1533-position model. The record is from RNAcentral.